UUUCUUUGCUGCGACCGGCGCACGGGUGAGUAACACGUAUCCAACCUGCCCUUUACUCGGGAUAGCCUUUCGAAAGAAAGAUUAAUACCCGAUAGCAUAAUGAUUCCGCAUGGUUUCAUUAUUAAAGGAUUCCGGUAAAGGAUGGGGAUGCGUUCCAUUAGGUUGUUGGUGAGGUAACGGCUCACCAAGCCUUCGAUGGAUAGGGGUUCUGAGAGGAAGGUCCCCCACAUUGGAACUGAGACACGGUCCAA
Molecule: ribosomal RNA, 251 nt
Filed under: uncultured bacterium
Lineage: Bacteria
Description: partial 16S ribosomal RNA
Rfam family: Bacterial small subunit ribosomal RNA
Source: RNAcentral